Molecule: ribosomal RNA, 122 nt
Filed under: Periophthalmus magnuspinnatus
Lineage: Eukaryota; Metazoa; Chordata; Actinopteri; Gobiiformes; Gobiidae
Source: RNAcentral
CAUGGUGACGUGUGUAAUUCAUAAGUGAUACCACCAUCUCGUCAAAUCGUGGAAGCUAAGCAGGGCUGGACCUAGUUAGUACUUGGAUGGGAAAUCACUGGGAAUACCAGAUGUCACAGUGG